RNAcentral lists this ribosomal RNA (468 nucleotides) under uncultured bacterium. Its description in RNAcentral is "partial 16S ribosomal RNA". It matches the Rfam family "Bacterial small subunit ribosomal RNA", at positions 28 to 507 of the family's 1533-position model. The record is from RNAcentral.
GACGAACGCUGGCGGCGUGCUUAACACAUGCAAGUCGAACAGAAAGGCCCUGCUUUUGUGGGGUGCUCGAGUGGCGAACGGGUGAGUAACACGUGAGUAACCUGCCCUUGACUUUGGGAUAACUUCAGGAAACUGGGGCUAAUACCGGAUAGGAGCUCCUGCUGCAUGGUGGGGGUUGGAAAGUUUCGGCGGUUGGGGAUGGACGCGCGGCUUAUCAGCUUGUUGGUGGGGUAGUGGCUUACAAAGGCUUUGGCGGGUAGCCGGCCUGAGAGGGUGACCGGCCACAUUGGGACUGCGAUACGGCCCAGACGCCUACGGGGGGCAGCAGUGGGGAAUAUUGCCCAAUGGGCGGAAGCCUGAUGCAGCAACGCCGCGUGCGGGAUGACGGCCUUCGGGUUGUAAACCGCUUUCGCCUGUGACGAAGCGUGAGUGACGGUAAUGGGUAAAGAAGCACCGGCUAACUACGUG